UCCAAGGAAGGCAGCAGGCGCGCAAAUUACCCAAUCCUGACCUAGGGAGGUAGUGACAAGAAAUGUAAAUGUUCCGUUGCCUUUGGUGAUGGGACAAUUUAGAUGAAACGGCUUUUAAUACGCCAGUUGAAUGCAAUUAGAGGGCAAGUCUGGUGCCAGCAUCCGCGGUAAUACCAGCUCUAAGAGCGUAUCCUUGAGUUGUUGCAGUUAAAACGCUCGUAGUUGGAUUUUUUGUGUGGGAAGUUUUCGAACUGAAGGGUUAAUGUCGGUUGCUUGUAGGGUAAAACCUAUAGGUAACUCGGCGUUCCCCCUGCACUUUGCUUGUGAGCUAGGGGCAACCCUAUGUUCACCCGUACCUUGAGAAAAGGAGAGCGCUUCAGGCAGGCCUCUUAACACGCCAUGAAUUUAGUAGCAUGGGAUACACGUAUUGGACUUAGUCCUUUGCGGUUGGUUUUCAGGAUCAAGUCAUGAUCGAUAGGGACGGUUGGGGGUGCUCGUAUUCCGCGGGAAGAGGUGAAAUUCCUGGAUCCGCGGAAGACGACCUUAUGCGAAAGCAUUCACCAAGGACGUCUUCUUUAAUCAAGAACGAAAGUUGGGGGAUCGAAGACGAUCAGAUACCGUCGUAGUCUCAACCAUAAACGAUGUCAACUGUGGAUUUUUUCGUCUAGUCAUGAAUUGCUUGGCUGGCUUCGGCCAGUCAACUUUUCGCCGACCGAAAGAGCACACUGUGGGAAACCAAAGUCUUUGGAUUCUAGGGAGAGUCUUUUCGCAAGAAAGAAAUUUAAAGGAAUUGACGGAAGCGGUACCACCACGGAGUGGGUCGUGUGGUUUAAUUUGACUCAACACGGGAAAUCUUACCAGUGCCGGACAUUGUGGGGAUUGACAGACUGCAGCUCUUUCAAGAUUCUGUGCUGUUGGAUGGUGCAUUGCCGCGGAAAGUUCGUGGAUUGAUUUGUCUGGUUCAUUCCGAUAACGAACGAGACGUUGGCCAUGUCGGCAGUUAAUAGGCCGAGGAAAAAUAAAUACGGGCAGCCUGGGUGCAAAUCCAGGGACUUUUGCAGCUCCGUUCUUAGUGGGACUGUCGGCGUUGUAGCCGAAGGAAGAUCAACUCAAUCGCAGGUCCGUGAUGCCUCUAGAUGUAUUCUGGGCCACACGCGCGACACACUGAUAGGUACAUCGAGCGAACGGGGUGGGGUCAAACUCACUCUUCCUGUUUCGAGAGGAACGGGCGCUCUGCAAUGCCUCAUCGUGCUGGGGAUCGACACUUGCAAUUAUUUGUCGUGAACGAGGAAUUCCUAGUAGACGCACGUCAUCAGCGUGCAUCGAUUACGUCCCUGCCCUUUGUACACACCGCCCGUCGCUAGUAUCGAUGCGUCAUCAAGUGAGGUUCAAGGAUUCGGGUUUUUCUUCGGAAAGGCUUGAAGAAUUGAAACAAACUUUAUG
Molecule: ribosomal RNA, 1443 nt
Filed under: uncultured eukaryote
Lineage: Eukaryota
Description: SSU rRNA
Rfam family: Eukaryotic small subunit ribosomal RNA
Source: RNAcentral